This 460-nucleotide ribosomal RNA is filed under the name uncultured bacterium. Its description in RNAcentral is "partial 16S ribosomal RNA". It matches the Rfam family "Bacterial small subunit ribosomal RNA", at positions 338 to 795 of the family's 1533-position model. The record is from RNAcentral.
CCUACGGGUGGCAGCAGUGAGGAAUAUUGGUCAAUGGACGCAAGCCUGAACCAGCCAUGCCGCGUGCAGGCAGCCGGCCCUAUGAGUUGUAAACUGCUUUUGUACGAGGGUAAACGCAGAUACGCGUAUCUGUCUGAAAGUAUCGUACGAAUAAGGAUCGGCUAACUCCGUGCCAGCAGCCGCGGUAAUACGGAGGAUUCAAGCGUUAUCCGGAUUUAUUGGGUUUAAAGGGUGCGUAGGCGGUCGGAUAAGUUAGAGGUGAAAUCCCGAGGCUCAACUUCGGAAUUGCCUCUGAUACUGUUCGGCUAGAGAGUAGUUGCGGUAGGCGGAAUGUAUGGUGUAGCGGUGAAAUGCUUAGAGAUCAUACAGAACACCGAUUGCGAAGGCAGCUUACCAAGCUACGUCUGACGUUGAGGCACGAAAGCGUGGGGAGCAAACAGGAUUAGAUACCCUAGUAGUC